AUGGCAAUGGCUACGAAGAUGCUGCUCCUGCUCGCUGCCGUGGCUCUUCUUGUGGCCUCCAGCGGCGCAUGGGAGACUAACAUGCACAUGCCGACGUCAGUUGCCACAGUCACCGCCAUGGAUGAGGCCGUGGCGCCGCUGAUCCAUGCGCUGCGGCCGCUGUUGGGCUCGGGCGGGCAGCUGGGGAGCCACGCCGGCGUGGCAUGCGACAGCUGGCGGCUGGGUGUGGAGGCGCACAACGUGCGUGACUGGAAGACGGUCCCCGCCAGCUGCGAGGGCUACGUCGGGCACUACAUGCUCGGCGGUCACUACCGCCGCGAUUCCAAGGUUGUCAUUGACCAGGCUAUCUCCUACGUCGAGAGCCUGAAGCUCGCCGGCAACGGCAAGGAGGUGUGGGUCUUCGACGUCGACGAGACCACGCUCUCCAACCUCCCCUACUACGCCACUCACGGCUUCGGGGCUACGCCGUACAACUGGACGAGCUUCCAAGAGUACGCACGGCAGGCGAGCGCACCUGCCCUGCCAGAGACGAAGCGGCUGUACAACAAGUUGCUUUCAGUGGGCAUCAAGCCUGUGAUCCUCACUGGCCGGCGAGAGGCCCAGAGGACCGCCACUGUCACAAACCUCCGCCAGCAGGGGUUUUCUGGGUCGAUGGCGGUGCUGCUGAAGCCAGCGGAGUUCAAGGGCUCCUCGGUGACCUUCAAGUCCGGUGAGAGACAAAAGCUGUUGGACGCUGGGUAUGUCAUCGUCGGCAACAUCGGUGACCAGUGGAGCGACAUCCUCGGCACGCCAGAGGGCGCCCGCACCUUUAAGCUGCCCGACCCCAUGUACUACAUCGGCUAG
This 843-nucleotide ribosomal RNA is filed under the name Triticum aestivum (bread wheat). Its description in RNAcentral is "partial small subunit ribosomal RNA". The record is from RNAcentral. Lineage: Eukaryota; Viridiplantae; Streptophyta; Magnoliopsida; Poales; Poaceae.